AUCAGUUGGUAAAAUUCAAACAGUUAAUAAAUGCAGGACUCAGCUUGUGAUUGUCAGAGAUACUCGUUGACAGGUUGGAAGGGUCAUGAGGUAGUGGGAAAUAUACUGAGUAGCAGUCAAAGGAUUUUGGUGUCAAGUGUGUGCUUCAGGCAAGUUUCUAAACUUCAUUUUCCUCACCUGCAAACUGUUAAUGUCUGUCUUGUUAUCACAGGGUUGCUGACGAGGCUGGGUCUGAUGAACCACUCAGUGCCUUGCGGACCAGAGGCUUUUACAUGAAAAACCUCGCUCGCUUAAACCAUUGUUAAUUGGGGCCACAACAGCUGGCCUUUGAACAACUGUCUACGUACAGAUUUUCUUAGACAACAUACUUAUGGUACUGCUCAAUAUAGGACAGCAGCAUGAAAGUGUUUUCUCUUGUGGCCAGUAUAUUACAUAUACAUGUGUACAUAUAUAAGAAAAUAUUUCCUGACUGCUUGUUAUUGGGGCCCAUGUCCAGACAUAGACGACUUUCCUCCGUCUAGACUCAGGCCCAGCCCAGCAGGCGUCUUCAGCACUUCAACGCACACAGCAUCAUGAGCAGCCACGCUUCUCCCUGUGGAAAUGAUGUUCGUGAAGGUGGUGGUGGCGGAGUAGGGAUUCUCAUCACCUGCCCCGGACCCCCAGUCCAGUGAUGAGCUGAGCCUGGUGCAGAAUCUUCAGGAUGUCCCCAUGGGCUAAACCAGCCAGCGAGGUGCCAUUGACUGACAGGAGGAGAUUUCCUCUGUUCACAGUCCCUUCCUGAGAUGCUGCCCCCUGAGAAAACACCCUGUGAACCUGAGACAAAGAGGACAAGAGCUCAUUUAUGACCUCCAGUUAAGGAAACAAACUGGCAGUCUUUCGCAAGAGCAUUUUGAUGUCACUCACCACAGGUUUGGGCUCCGCAUCUGUCCCUCCUGCCACACUGAAUC
This is a long non-coding RNA of Condylura cristata (star-nosed mole), 947 nucleotides long. RefSeq lists it as uncharacterized. The transcript has 5 exons. Lineage: Eukaryota; Metazoa; Chordata; Mammalia; Eulipotyphla; Talpidae. The record is from RefSeq and is a predicted model, not a curated record.